AUGGUUUCUCAUCUAAAAGGCGUUUAGGCCAUGCUUCUAGGCGUCGCCAAAGGAUGGGGCCGCGGCCGAUCAGGUUGUUGGUGAGGCAACGGCUCACCAAGCCUAUAACCGGUACGGGCCGUGAGAGCGGGAGCCCGGAGAUGGGCACUGAGACAAGGGCCCAGGCCCUACGGGGCGCAGCAGUUGCGAAAACUCCGCAAUGCGCGAAAGCGUGACGGGGCUACCCCGAGUGCCGUCCGCUGAGGACGGCUUUUCCACGGUGUAGGGAGCCGUGGGAAUAAGGAGAGGGCAAGCCUGGUGUCAGCCGCCGCGGUAAUACCAGCUCUCCGAGUGGUGGGGACGAUUAUUGGGCUUAAAGCGUUCGUAGCCGGCUCAGCAAGUCUUCCGUUAAAUCCAGCGAUUUAAUCGUUGGGCUGCGGGAGAUACUGUUGGGCUAGGGGGCGGAAGAAGCCGACGGUAUUCUCGGGGUAGGGGUGAAAUCCUGUAAUCCCGGGAAGACCACCAGUGGCGAAGGCGGUCGGCUAGAACGCGCUCGACGGUGAGGGACGAAAGCUGGGGGAGCGAACCGGAUUAGAUACCCGGGUAGUCCCAGCUGUAAACGA
RNAcentral lists this ribosomal RNA (602 nucleotides) under uncultured archaeon. RNAcentral's name for it is "bacterial SSU rRNA". It matches the Rfam family "Archaeal small subunit ribosomal RNA", at positions 175 to 760 of the family's 1478-position model. The record is from RNAcentral.